AUGAGGAUGAUACUUCGGCAA
Molecule: transfer RNA, 21 nt
Filed under: Hesperis sibirica
Lineage: Eukaryota; Viridiplantae; Streptophyta; Magnoliopsida; Brassicales; Brassicaceae
Description: partial tRNA-Phe
Source: RNAcentral